Molecule: ribosomal RNA, 252 nt
Filed under: uncultured bacterium
Lineage: Bacteria
Description: partial 16S ribosomal RNA
Rfam family: Bacterial small subunit ribosomal RNA
Source: RNAcentral
UAUGUAGGUCCCGAGCGUUGUCCGGAUUUAUUGGGCGUAAAGCGAGCGCAGGUGGUUUAUUAAGUCUGGUGUAAAAGGCAAUGGCUCAACCAUUGUAUGCAUUGGAAACUGGUAGACUUGAGUGCAGGAGAGGAGAGUGGAAUUCCAUGUGUAGCGGUGAAAUGCGUAGAUAUAUGGAGGAACACCGGUGGCGAAAGCGGCUCUCUGGCCUGUAACUGACACUGAGGCUCGAAAGCGUGGGGAGCAAACAGG